RNAcentral lists this ribosomal RNA (869 nucleotides) under uncultured archaeon. RNAcentral describes it as "bacterial SSU rRNA". It matches the Rfam family "Archaeal small subunit ribosomal RNA", at positions 1 to 878 of the family's 1478-position model. The record is from RNAcentral.
UUCCGGUUGAUCCCGCCGGACCUGACUGCUAUCGGAUUGGUACUAAGCCAUGCGAGUCGUUGUAGCAAUACAAGGCGGACGGCUCAGUAACACGUAGUCAACCUAACCUAUGGACGUGGAUAACCUCGGGAAACUGAGAAUAAACCGCGAUAGAUCAUUAUGCCUGGAAUGGCUUAUGGUUCAAACAAUUUAUUGCCGUAGGAUGGGACUGCGGCCUAUCAGCUUGUUGGUGAGGUAAUGGCCCACCAAGGCUAUAACAGGUACGGGCUCUGAGAGGAGAAGCCCGGAGAUGGGUACUGAGACACGGACCCAGGCCCUAUGGGGCGCAGCAGGCGAGAAACCUUAGCAAUGUGCGAAAGCACGACUAGGUUAAUCCGAGUGAUUUCUGUUGAAGAAAUCUUUUGUCAGUCGUAAAACCACAGACGAAUAAGGGGUGGGCAAGUCUGGUGUCAGCCGCCGCGGUAAUACCAGCACCUCGAGUGGUCAGGAGGUUUAUUGGGCCUAAAGCAUCCGUAGCCGGCUACGCAAGUCUCCGGUUAAAUCCAGCUGCUCAACAGAUGGGCUGCCGGAGAUACUACAUAGCUAGGGAGCGGGAGAGGUAGACGGUAUUCUGUGGGUAGGGGUAAAAUCCACUGAUCCAUAGAGGACCACCAGUGGCGAAGGCGGUCUACCAGAACGCGUUCGACGGUGAGGGAUGAAAGCUGGGGGAGCAAACCGGAUUAGAUACCCGGGUAGUCCCAGCUGUAAACGAUGCAAACUCGGUGAUGCAUUGGCUUAUGGCCAAUGCAGUGCCGCAGGGAAGCCGUUAAGUUUGCCGCCUGGGAAGUACGGACGCAAGUCUGAAACUUAAAGGAAUUGGCGGGGGAGCA